GGGGAUUCAGGAAAUCCGAUUAAAGUGGGCGGCAAAGUAGUACCCCGAGUGGGCUUGGCGUAAUAUUUUAAAUCUAAGCUUCAUAAAUUCUAGUUUUCCGACUCGCGUUCACACAGCAACAUAAAAGGUUCACGAUUAAGGAAAAAACGUUUAAUUUAGAAAAAGGAUGGACAAAUAUUGAGCGCUUUUAACGAUUCUCAGGAUGAUGUUCCGGAAUAACUUGAAUAACCAGUCUAUAGGGUCUGCAGAUUUUCCGCCACACCAAAUUGUUUUUCGCGCGAUUCGGCCAACCCACCUAUAUGUACAUAUAUGUAGGUAUCUGCAUGUAUGUAGAAACCGCUCUCGAUUUUUGGCACCUGCGAGAUGCGCGCCCACGUUGUGUGCGAUUAUUCAAUUAUGUGUGUGCUGAUAUAGAAGCGGAACGACGGGGAGCAACCCUCGCCACCACAAGGCUAAUGCUCUUCCGUGAAUUUCCACGCAAUCAGCUAUUGGACUCGAUCCAUUAGCGGCUUGCAGAUAAGGGUACUGAUUUCACAAGUGCUUUACGCAUUUCAACGGACCCGGAUCGCCUUUAUGAAUGAAUCACAUCGGCGAAUGUCCAAGAAGUCCAAGGAUGGCGCCAUGAAAUAUCGAAACUAGUCAACGUUAUAUCGAUAGAUUAUAAGAUAUUUUUUUCGAUAUAUUUAACGUGUCAUCUUUGUUUCUAUAGAUGAUAUUAUAAAAUAUCGAAACUAGUUAACAUUAUAUCGAUAGGUUACAAUUUUCAACAGUGUCACCCAUAUUUUUUAUUUGAAGAAAUGUACAAAACAAAUUUUGGCAAUAAUACACAUUGAAGGAGGAACACUUCCAUGGAUGGAUAUCGGUCGGCAGGUUGAACCCACUACAUGAGACAGGAUACCACACACCCUGUGCAAGAUGCAAGUUCCCUUAACGUUCUGUGCGCCUGGUACACAUUGCAUAUAAAGGCAAUAAGGAAAACUGGAACUAAUACCAAAUGCUUCACGGUCUAGGACCAUCGACAACGCCAUUUCCAGAUGAAAGUGGGCUAUGAUCCUUAAGAAAACACCCAUCAUAACGGCUUACUCUGUUCUUGAACACACCACUAUUAUAUGACCUGUGGAGCCCAGCACCAGCUGUAAAUUCAACUCCUCACCAGACUGGAGGCAUUCUGAGUUCAAUACUAUAUGCAUUCAGGAACUGUUUCUACUAGCGUACGGUUUCUCAAUCAGACCGGGAAAACCAGUAGAAGCAAUAGGUCUCCCGGCUACGCCAUUUCCAAGUGGAAACGGACGGUUGCUAGUGCAUGUGCUUGAUGCAGCACUUUCAUGCGUGGACCAUUCUCCGAGCCGAAAAGAUUGACUUGAUUCAACAGCAGUUAAUGGACUGCAGCCUCACCGACAACAUGACCGCAGCCCCGGAUGACUGCAUCCAAAUUUUAAUCUGGAAUUUUUAAGUUUUUAAUUUUUUUUUUAUAGUUCUUGUAACAUUUAAAUUCAUUAAAAUGUAAAUAGUCGCAACUACUUUGAUCUCUCAAUUCAGU
Molecule: long non-coding RNA, 1540 nt
Organism: Drosophila ananassae
Lineage: Eukaryota; Metazoa; Arthropoda; Insecta; Diptera; Drosophilidae
Exons: 6
Source: RefSeq, a predicted model, not a curated record